CAAAUAGUAACCAGAGCGAAAAACACACAAUAUACAUAUAUUAUAAGCCUGAAUUCAAAUUUCCUUGAUUUCCUGGUUACUGGUUUUUGGUCCGUUUCACAUAUGCUACGGAUUGCUCAAAAGGAUGAUUCUCAGAAAGGAAGGACACUCACACGCGCGCCGAACGCUGAUGGCUGGCUAAUUGCGGACUUUGCUAAAAUUAAUUUCCCAGCUUCUAAUAAUGUUACCCGAAGGGACCGGGUAAACGUAAACGGGUUGCGGCAAAUGAAAUCACGCGCAGAGGGUGAGGCAACUUGUUGUCGCACGUGUUCAACGCGGCGUAUGCGUAAUCUGUUUGGGUUACACCUGCUGACGGGGGCGAGCCUCAAUUUGUUUCAGGCCUCACCGUUGUUUCUUUCCAUUGGCGUUCGUCAUCGGCCAUCUAGGAUCUAUUUAUAGGGUGAAAGCACCCGAUGAGCGGCUGCCGAUGGGUCACUAAUCGCCGUAAUUAUCCUUUACGAAGCACAAACUUAUUAAUUAAAUUUCGUUCGCUAUUUUGCCAGCA
This is a long non-coding RNA of Drosophila ficusphila, 544 nucleotides long. RefSeq lists it as uncharacterized. The record is from RefSeq and is a predicted model, not a curated record. NCBI's taxonomy places the organism in Eukaryota, Metazoa, Arthropoda, Insecta, Diptera, Drosophilidae. The transcript is spliced from 2 exons.